CAUCAUGGGUGAAAACCAAAGUCUGUUAGAGGAAAAACUAGUGAGGGAAAGUUUGUUAGAAGUUUGCUAUAAUAUAGGUUGAGAAUAGCCACAUAAGCAAGCAAAUUGAGAGUAAAAGAGAGUCUAGGUAUUGGUGUUCAACUUGCAUUUCUUUGUAAUUCCUUUUGAAUUCAAUAAAAUUCUCUAUUUUGCUCUUCUUCUAAUUGGGAACUUAACAACUGGUACCAGAGCAACCAAUUCUGAUGGCCCAAAGGAAGAUAGAAAUCAAAGUAGAAGCAAUGGAGAAGAAGCUGAAGGAAUUGAAAAUAGAACUUCAAUGCUUACCUAGAGUAGAAAGAGUAGUGGAGCAUUAAUCCAGAGUAUGGCCAAGAUGACACGAUCACCAGAGUCAAUUCAAAAAGAUGUGGCGUCACUUAUUAAUCCAAAGGUAGCCACAAAUCGGGUACUCGAAGGGGAUAGAUCCAGAAACGUUAUGGAAAGGAAGCUACUUCUGAGCAUCAACUAGGAACCCUUGGUGGAUCAACGAGCACAAAACAAAGGAAAAUGGCUAGAAGAAAUAGGAGAGACCAAUACUGGAGGAAUUACAGUCACCUCUAUCGGAAUAGAGGUGGUGAUGAUUGCCGACGUGUUUGGAAACACGAGAUGCUGAAACUCUUAGUUUCCCAACUGUAGGCUUCUGAACAAGGAUUGCUAAUCAAGUCGGAGAAGAUGAUGGUGUUGACUAACAAAAGGGGGGAGAAAAAGAUGUUAGUGGGCUGAUAAUGAUGCCUAAAUUUCAAUCGGAAAACCUGUGGGCUUGUCCUUGGAGAGGAUCCAAUCAAUAGAAGGCAAAGGUCUAGUAAUUAGAGUUGAACACUUAUAUAUAUAUAUAUAUAUGUGUGUGUGUGUGUGUGUGUGUGUGUGUGGGGCUUGAUUUUGGAGACGACCCAAUUUGUAAAAGGGAGCUUGCUGCUUAAACAUGUCCCAGGUGAAGCAAAGCCAAUUCAAUAAAUAGAUCUGAUUUCUUAUUGCAAUCAAACUACAUCGAUUUUCUUUUCAAUUUGCAAAACAUCGACUCUCUCUUCAAUCCCUAAAUUGGUUUUCAACCCAUCUUCAGAAAAAAAAAUUGGGUAUUCUGUAGAUUGGGACAAAUGGUUUCGAGUUGCCUUGGAUAAUAUAAUCGUAAUAUUUGCCAAUUAAAUUCUCUCUUUGCCAUUAAAUGUGGUGGUCGACAAGUUCAUUAUUCAGACAAGAUCGUGUAUCAUCAAUUUGGUAUCAAUUUGAACCCUAAAAAAAACAUGUAACGACUUGAGGUUGAGAGGAAGUCACAGGUUGAUAUAAUAGCUCGGCGCUGGUUAUACACUGGAGUUCAUGAGUGGCACGAGCUGAUUCACUACCUGAUAGAGAUGAAAUGUCUUUCUGGACGGCCUUUUUGUGAUCAUUUAUACAAUUCUGAAUACAUUUUCUGGGAGCUGGGUUAUAUGGAAAGUUCUUCAAGAAUGAGGAAUGUUUUGCAAAGGAACUGCCAAAGUUCAGAUCACUUUGGUGCUGCUGGAGAGCAUGAAGAUAAUGUAGUGCAGAAGCUUGAGAAUGAUAAAGUCAUAAGUCCACCCAAAGCUUCUAUCUUAGCAGCAAAAGCUAUCUCGUUUGAGGUAGGACAUGCAUAAGAUGAGCAUGAAAAUGAUAUCCAAUUGGAGGGUAGCUCGAAUGGCAUAGAACAACUUGGUGAAUUUCAGAUAAGAUCAUCUGGAUCCACUCCAUUGCAAACGACAAUAGAGUCUAGAGAUGAGUGACUAAUGACAUAGUCUUGCUAUCAUAGACGCGUCGAGGGUGUGCAAGUUGAGCGACCGCAUAGGGCCUCAGAAUUGUAGGGGCACCAAAAAUUGUUUUUGUUAUAGUUGUAUAUUUAUUUAUAAUUAAAUAUUUACGUCGAAUUUUUUCAGUUUUUAGUAGCUAUGAUCAUAUGGUAUAAACACUUGCAAUCUAAUGAUAUACUUAUUCAAGUUGUUAUUGAGAAAAUGAAAGGGCUAAUUGCUUCUUC
This 2020-nucleotide long non-coding RNA is filed under the name Olea europaea subsp. europaea. Lineage: Eukaryota; Viridiplantae; Streptophyta; Magnoliopsida; Lamiales; Oleaceae. The record is from RNAcentral.